GGGGGCGAUCGGCUUCGACUGGUUCUUCGCGGGUGACGGUGGCGUGCCGUGGUUGAUCAGUUGGCCACGUAAAAAGCUGAUCACACAACAACUGCCAACAAGCAGUUCGCUUUGGCUGCCUAAUUACGGCAGCUCCGGCUUAGGAAUCCCCGCCUGAGGAGUCCGACGGCCGGUCACAAAAUCAGGCUGGCUGCCGGUCAACGGACGCUACGCCGGCAGUAAGACAAGUGGUGACCUGGCUGCGCUAGGCUUUGUCGGCCGUGCCGAAUGCAGCGAGACCCAAUCAACCGACUACGCACGUAGAAGCCUCAUCUCAGAGUUCACAGGACGCGGGUUCGAUUCCCGCCGCCUCCACUU
This 357-nucleotide transfer-messenger RNA is filed under the name Planctomycetaceae. RNAcentral's name for it is "JAEUIG01 sp016795125 Standard tmRNA". It matches the Rfam family "transfer-messenger RNA". From Rfam's summary of the family: Bacterial tmRNA, also known as 10Sa RNA or SsrA, is named for its dual tRNA and mRNA-like properties. Its role is to liberate the mRNA from a stalled ribosome. The record is from RNAcentral. RNAcentral also lists the same sequence under 1 other name. Lineage: Bacteria; Pseudomonadati; Planctomycetota; Planctomycetia; Planctomycetales.